RNAcentral lists this ribosomal RNA (450 nucleotides) under uncultured Glomeromycotina. Its description in RNAcentral is "SSU rRNA". It matches the Rfam family "Eukaryotic small subunit ribosomal RNA", at positions 569 to 1022 of the family's 1831-position model. Lineage: Eukaryota; Fungi; Glomeromycota. The record is from RNAcentral.
AGCAGCCGCGGUAACUCCAGCUCCAAUAGCGUAUAUUAAAGUUGUUGCAGUUAAAAAGCUCGUAGUUGAACUUCGGGGUUUACCCAUUGGUCAGGCUUAAUUGUCUGUACUGGUGAGAUAAAUCUCUACCUUCUGAGGAACUUUCAUGCCAUUUAUUUGGUGUGAUUGGAAAUCAGGACUAUUACUUUGAAAAAAUUGAGUGUUUAAAGCAGGCUAACGUCUGAAUAUAUUAGCAUGGAAUAAUGAAAUAGGACGGCUUGGUUCUAUUUCGUUGGUUUCUAGGAUCACCGUAAUGAUUAAUAGGGAUAGUUGGGGGCAUUAGUAUUCAAUUGUCAGAGGUGAAAUUCUUGGAUUUAUUGAAAGACUAACUACUGCGAAAGCAUUUGCCAAGGAUGUUUUCAUUAAUCAAGAACGAAAGUUAGGGAUCGAAGACGAUCAGAUACCGUCGUA